AUUGAACGCUGGCGGCAUGCCUUACACAUGCAAGUCGAACGACGCUAGGGGCAACUCUAGCGAGUGGCGUACGGGUGAGUAAUGCAUCGGAACGUGCCCUCUCGUGGGGGAUAACCAGUCGAAAGAUUGGCUAAUACCGCAUGAGCUCGAGAGAGGAAAGCGGGGGACCGCAAGGCCUCGUGCGAGAGGAGCGGCCGAUGCCCGAUUAGCUAGUUGGUGGGGUAAUGGCCCACCAAGGCGACGAUCGGUAGCUGGUCUGAGAGGACGACCAGCCAGAGUGGGACUGAGACACGGCCCAGACUCCUACGGGGGGCAGCAGUGGGGAAUUUUGGACAAUGGGGGCAACCCUGAUCCAGCCAUGCCGCGUGUGUGAAGAAGGCCUUCGGGUUGUAAAGCACUUUCGGACGGAACGAAAUCGCGCGGGUGAACAAUCCGCGUGGAUGACGGUACCGUAAGAAGAAGCACCGGCUAACUACGUGCCAGCCGCCGCCGUAA
RNAcentral lists this ribosomal RNA (495 nucleotides) under uncultured bacterium. RNAcentral's name for it is "partial 16S ribosomal RNA". It matches the Rfam family "Bacterial small subunit ribosomal RNA", at positions 29 to 523 of the family's 1533-position model. The record is from RNAcentral.